Long non-coding RNA from Pectinophora gossypiella (pink bollworm), 296 nucleotides. RefSeq lists it as uncharacterized. The transcript has 2 exons. The record is from RefSeq and is a predicted model, not a curated record. NCBI's taxonomy places the organism in Eukaryota, Metazoa, Arthropoda, Insecta, Lepidoptera, Gelechiidae.
GCCUAUAUACGUCCCACUGCUGGGCACAGGCCUCCCCUCAAUCAACCGGAGGGGGUAUGGAGCAUACUCCACCACGCUGCUCCAAUGCGGGUUGGUGGAGGUGUUUUUUUACGGCUAAUAGCCGGGACCAACGGCUUAACGUGCCCUCCGAAGCACGGAAUCAUCUUACUUUUUCGGACAAUCAGGUGAUUCAAGCCUGAAAAGUCCUUACCAAACAAAGGACAGUCUCACAUAGUGAUUUCGACAAUGUCCCCAUCGGGAAUCGAACCCGGAUCUCCAGAUCGUGAGCCUAACGC